This 1628-nucleotide ribosomal RNA is filed under the name Klebsiella pneumoniae. RNAcentral describes it as "Large Subunit Ribosomal RNA; lsuRNA; LSU rRNA". It matches the Rfam family "Bacterial large subunit ribosomal RNA", at positions 1 to 1674 of the family's 2925-position model. The record is from RNAcentral. RNAcentral also lists the same sequence under 1 other name. Lineage: Bacteria; Pseudomonadati; Pseudomonadota; Gammaproteobacteria; Enterobacterales; Enterobacteriaceae.
GGUUAAGCGACUAAGCGUACACGGUGGAUGCCCUGGCAGUCAGAGGCGAUGAAGGACGUGCUAAUCUGCGAAAAGCGUCGGUAAGGUGAUAUGAACCGUUACAGCCGGCGAUGUCCGAAUGGGGAAACCCAGUGCAAUUCGUUGCACUAUCGUUAACUGAAUACAUAGGUUAACGAGGCGAACCGGGGGAACUGAAACAUCUAAGUACCCCGAGGAAAAGAAAUCAACCGAGAUUCCCCCAGUAGCGGCGAGCGAACGGGGAGCAGCCCAGAGUCUGAAUCAGCUUGUGUGUUAGUGGAACGGUCUGGAAAGUCCGACGGUACAGGGUGAUAGUCCCGUACACCAAAAUGCACAGGUUGUGAACUCGAAGAGUAGGGCGGGACACGUGGUAUCCUGUCUGAAUAUGGGGGGACCAUCCUCCAAGGCUAAAUACUCCUGACUGACCGAUAGUGAACCAGUACCGUGAGGGAAAGGCGAAAAGAACCCCGGCGAGGGGAGUGAAAAAGAACCUGAAACCGUGUACGUACAAGCAGUGGGAGCACCUUCGGGUGUGACUGCGUACCUUUUGUAUAAUGGGUCAGCGACUUAUAUUCUGUAGCAAGGUUAACCGUAUAGGGGAGCCGCAGGGAAACCGAGUCUUAACUGGGCGUUAAGUUGCAGGGUAUAGACCCGAAACCCGGUGAUCUAGCCAUGGGCAGGUUGAAGGUUGGGUAACACUAACUGGAGGACCGAACCGACUAAUGUUGAAAAAUUAGCGGAUGACUUGUGGCUGGGGGUGAAAGGCCAAUCAAACCGGGAGAUAGCUGGUUCUCCCCGAAAGCUAUUUAGGUAGCGCCUCGUGAACUCAUCUUCGGGGGUAGAGCACUGUUUCGGCUAGGGGGUCAUCCCGACUUACCAACCCGAUGCAAACUACGAAUACCGAAGAAUGUUAUCACGGGAGACACACGGCGGGUGCUAACGUCCGUCGUGAAGAGGGAAACAACCCAGACCGCCAGCUAAGGUCCCAAAGUCAUGGUUAAGUGGGAAACGAUGUGGGAAGGCACAGACAGCCAGGAUGUUGGCUUAGAAGCAGCCAUCAUUUAAAGAAAGCGUAAUAGCUCACUGGUCGAGUCGGCCUGCGCGGAAGAUGUAACGGGGCUAAACCAUGCACCGAAGCUGCGGCAGCGACACUAUGUGUUGUUGGGUAGGGGAGCGUUCUGUAAGCCUGCGAAGGUGUGCUGUGAGGCAUGCUGGAGGUAUCAGAAGUGCGAAUGCUGACAUAAGUAACGAUAAAGCGGGUGAAAAGCCCGCUCGCCGGAAGACCAAGGGUUCCUGUCCAACGUUAAUCGGGGCAGGGUGAGUCGACCCCUAAGGCGAGGCCGAAAGGCGUAGUCGAUGGGAAACAGGUUAAUAUUCCUGUACUUGGUGUUACUGCGAAGGGGGGACGGAGAAGGCUAUGUUAGCCGGGCGACGGUUGUCCCGGUUUAAGCAUGUAGGCUGGUUAUCCAGGCAAAUCCGGAUAAUCAAGGCUGAGGUGUGAUGACGAGGCACUACGGUGCUGAAGUAACAAAUGCCCUGCUUCCAGGAAAAGCCUCUAAGCAUCAGGUAACAUCAAAUCGUACCCCAAACCGACACAGGUGGUCAGGUAG